GACGAACGCUGGCGGCGUGCUUAACACAUGCAAGUCGAACGGAAAGGCCCUGCUUUUGUGGGGUGCUCGAGUGGCGAACGGGUGAGUAACACGUGAGUAACCUGCCCUUGACUUUGGGAUAACUUCAGGAAGCUGGGGCUAAUACCGGAUAGGAGCUCCUGCUGCAUGGUGGGGGUUGGAAAGUUUCGGCGGUUGGGGAUGGACUCGCGGCUUAUCAGCUUGUUGGUGGGGUAGUGGCUUACCAAGGCUUUGACGGGUAGCCGGCCUGAGAGGGUGACCGGCCACAUUGGGACUGAGAUACGGCCCAGACUCCUACGGGAGGCAGCAGUGGGGAGUAUUGCACAAUGGGCGGAAGCCUGAUGCAGCAACGCCGCGUGCGGGAUGACGGCCUUCGGGUUGUAAACCGCUUUCGCCUGUGACGAAGCGUGAGUGACGGUAAUGGGUAAAGAAGCACCGGCUAACUACGUG
This 468-nucleotide ribosomal RNA is filed under the name uncultured bacterium. RNAcentral's name for it is "partial 16S ribosomal RNA". It matches the Rfam family "Bacterial small subunit ribosomal RNA", at positions 28 to 507 of the family's 1533-position model. The record is from RNAcentral.